AGCAGCCGCGGUAAUUCCAGCUCCAAUAGCGUAUAUUAAAGUUGUUGCAGUUAAAAAGCUCGUAGUUGAAUUUCGGGAUCAAAUUGUUGGUCGUGCUUCGGUACGCACUGGCAUUAUUGGUUCCUACCUUCUGAAGAACCGCGAUGUCAUUAAUUUGGUGUCGUGGGGAAUCAGGACUGUUACUUUGAAAAAUUAGAGUGUUUAAAGCAGGCUUACGCUUGAAUACAUUAGCAUGGAAUAAUGAAAUAGGACGUUUGAUUCUAUUUUGUUGGUUUCUAGGAUCGACGUAAUGAUUAAUAGGGAUAGUUGGGGGCAUUAGUAUUCAAUUGUCAGAGGUGAAAUUCUUGGAUUUAUUGAAGACUAACUACUGCGAAAGCAUUUGCCAAGGAUGUUUUCAUUAAUCAAGAACGAAAGUUAGGGGAUCGAAGACGAUCAGAUACCGUCGUAGUCUUAACCAUAGACUAUGCCGACU
This 472-nucleotide ribosomal RNA is filed under the name uncultured Glomus. RNAcentral's name for it is "SSU rRNA". It matches the Rfam family "Eukaryotic small subunit ribosomal RNA", at positions 569 to 1047 of the family's 1831-position model. The record is from RNAcentral. Lineage: Eukaryota; Fungi; Glomeromycota; Glomeromycetes; Glomerales; Glomeraceae.